UCCCCUUUAACUGACUCCAAGAGCAGGAAGUCUCACUCUCGUCUCUCGGAUAGGGAAAGCAAAAAAGAGGAUCAGUGAGGUGUCAUAAAUAUAUUCCAUUACAACAACAAUGGCACAACGGACGGUAUGACAAAGUCGUUUUGGUAACACUAGCUAGGUAAUCACUUUCCUAGUUCUGGCGCUUUUUCGUAGGAGACUCCCUGCAAAGAAGCGUGAGAAGUUAUUAUUAGGGAGAAAUGGCGGACGGCGGAGGCUUCGAGUUGGGUGAUGUUGUCGACCCACCCAUUGCGCCGAAUAUCAUCUGUCCCCUUGUCACCGUUUCUGACCUACCCAGCCCGACAGCUGCAGGCCGUAACCUGAAGGAAUGGCUGCAGGAGCAGUUCAAUAAAAAGCCUGAAGAGCAGAGUGAGGAAGCGCUGCUCCACAACGCUGCUUACGUAGGAGACCUGGAUACUCUAAGGAACCUGCUGCAGGAGGACAGCUUCAGAGAGCGGAUCAACGAGAAGUCUGUAUGGUGCUGUGGUUGGCUGCCCUGCACCCCUCUGCGCAUCGCUGCCACAGCCGGUCAAGGGGCCUGUGUGGCCUACCUGAUAGGCCAGGGGGCCAAGGUGGACCUAGUGGAUGUGAAGGGUCAGACGGCCCUCUACGUGGCGGUGGUCAACGGACACCUGGACUGUGUGACCAUCCUCCUGGAAGCUGGAGCUGACCCCAACGGCAGCCGCCACCACCGCAGCACUCCCGUCUAUCACGCUGCACGGGUAGGCAGGGUGGACAUACUCCAAGAGCUCAUCAGGUUCCAUGCCGACGUGGAUGUGGACCACCAGCUGGGCGCCAGGCCCCCUUUUGGUGCGGCCCGCACCCUCACCACACUGGUGGUGUGCCCGCUCUACAUCAGCGCCGCCUACCGCCACCUCCACUGCUUCAGCCUGCUCCUGGCGGCUGGCGCCCAGCCGGACUACAACUACAACGGACCAGUGAGCCGCGAUGCGCUAGCAAAGGGUUUGGCCUCCUGCCUGCUGGAUGCAGUGCUGAGACACGGCUGUGAGGCGGCGUUCGUCAGACUGCUGCUAGACCACGGUGCCAAGCCCAGCCUGGUACCCUGGGAGCAGCCCCACCGAGAGGGAGCGACCGCCGGGGGCCGAGAGAGGGUUGACCCCGAAGCCCUGCAGCUCUACUUGGAGGCCAGGAGUGAGUAGAGUUCCAACCUUCACACAGCACCAUUAUAUUUACAUUUUAGUCACUUGGCAGACACUCUUAUCUAGAGCCAUGAGGCGCUAUGAUGUGAAAAGUCACAGAAAUAAUAAUAGUAGUAGUGGGUUGCGUGUAUGAAGAGCAUCUUUAUGUGUUUGUGUCUAUUUGACUGUCGCCUAUGAGUUUAUUGAAAGCUUACCGUCGCAACAUGGCAGAAGUGUUUACCUGAAAAGGGUGAAUGUACAUACAUAUACAUCCAAGAUGGCGUAGCAGUGUAGAUGUGGUUUGUUGUCCUAUCGUGUACUUUUGUAUUUUUCGUCUUUUUUUGUACAUAUUUCAAUUUAUUUUCAAUCUCUUUUCCAUUUUUAAAUUAAAUAUACCUUCCGGUAACCCACCUGACCCAAUGUGACGCGGACCCGCUAUUUUUUUUAGACCUUACUUGCACAUCAUCAUCUGCCCAACGAUCACUCCAGUGUUAAUUUGCUAAACUGUAAUUACUUCGCUACUAUGGCCUAUUUAUUGCCUUACCACCUCAUGCCAUUUGCACACACUGUAUAUAGGCUUUCUUUUUUUUCUGUUGUGUUAUUGACUGUAUGUUUUGUUUAUUCCAUGUAACUCGGUGUUGUUGUUUCUGUCGCACUGCUUUGCUUUAUCUUUGCCAGGUCGCAGUUGUAAAUGAGAACUUGUUCUCAACUAGCUUACCUGGUUAAAUAAAGGUGAAAUAAAUAAACACUGUAACAGCAACAUACAUUGCACACAUCACAAAUAUGAAAUUAACACUUGCCGAUACCUUUGCGAUCAUUGACAUUAAACUAAAUGUAUUUGAAGAGUUUAGUUCCAAAACACUAUAUAUCCAUCGUUUAGCUGGAAUGAAAUAUUUGUAUUCUGUAUAUUUGACUGUGGAUAUAUGGUUGUCUCAUCUAAAUGACUAAAAUGUCAAAUGUAAAUAUUUUACAUACAAAUCUCAUAUCACUCUAUUGAUUUAUUGUUUUAUAUUGAUGUCACAAAUGUAUAUAUUGAUGCCACAAAUGUAUAAUUUGUACAUUUCUUUAUAAAAAAAACAAUGAAGUUAUCACAUUUUACCGUGUAAAACCCAUCACUACUACUUAUUCCUCCAAGAGUGAGGCGGAUUUAUAGCGUUUUGCAAUAAAACAUGAUCAUUUGUCUCUCUGAAAUGAAACUAUCAAGUGGUUGAUUUCAAUCAAAUACAGUGCAUUCGGAAAGUAUUCAGACCCCUUGACUUUUUCCACAUUUUGUUACAUUACAGCCUUAUUCUAAAAUAGAUUUUUUUUUUAUAAAAAAAAAUCCUCAGCAAACUAAACACACUACCCCAUAAUGACAUAGCAAAAACAGGUUUUUAGAAUUUUUACAAAUGUAUUAAAAAUGAAAAACUGAUACCUUAUUUAUUCAGACCUUUUGCUAUAAGACUCGAAAUUGAGCUCAGGUGCAUCCUGUUUCCAGUGAUCAUCCUUGAGAUGUUUGACAACUUGAUUGGAGUCCACCUGUGGUAAAUUCAAUUGAUUGUACAUGAUUUGGAAAGGCACACACCUGUCUAUAUAAGGUCCCACUGUUGACAGUGCAUGUCAGAGCAAAAACCAAGCCAUGAGGUUGAAGGAAUGGUCCGUAGAGCUCUGAGACGGGAUUGUGUCGAGGUACAAAUCUGCGGAAGGGUACCAGCAUUGAAGGUCCCCAAGAACACAGUCGCCGCCAUCAUUCUUAAAUGGAAGAAGUUUGGAACCACCAAGACUAUUCCUAGACCUGGCCGCCCGGCCUAACUGAGCAAUCGGGGGAGAAGGGGCUUGGUCAGGGAGGUGACCAAGAACCCAAUAGUCACUCUGACAAAGCUCUAGAGUUCCUCUGUGGAGAUGGGAGAUGCAGCACUCCAUCAAUCAGGCCUUUAUGAUAGAUUGCCCAGACGUAAGCCACUCCUCAGGAAAAAGCACAUGACAGCGCCCUUGGAGUUUGCCAAAAGGCAAUAUUCUCUGGUCUGAUAAAACCAAGAUUGAACUCUUUGGCCUGAAUGACAAGCGCCACGUCUGGCGUGGUGGUGGCAGUAUCAUGCUGGCGGGAUGUUUUUCAGCGGAAUGGACUACGAGACUAGUCAGGAUUGAGGCAAAGAUGAACGGAGCAAAGUACAGAGAGAUCCUUGAUGGAAACCUGCUCCAGAGCGCUCAGGACCUCCGACUGUGGAGAAGGUUAACCUUCCAACAGGACAACGACCCUACGCACACAGCCAAGACAAUGCUGGAGUGGCUUCAGGACAAGUCUCUGAAUGUCCUUGAGUGGCCCAGCCAGAGCCCGGACUUGAACGUGAUUGAACAUCUCUGGAGAGACCUGAAAAUAGCUGUGCAGCGACGCUCCCCAUCCAACCUGACAGAGCUUGAGAGGAUAUGCAGAAAAGAAUGGGACAAACUCCCCAAAUACAGUUGUGCCAAGCUUGUAGCAUCAUACCCAAGAAAACUCUAUGCUGUAAUAACUUCCAAAGGUUCUUCAACAAAGUACUGAGUAAAGGGUCUGAAUACACAUGUAUGUUAUAUUUCAGUUUUUGCAUAAAUUUAUACAAACCUGUUUUUGCUUUGUCAUUAUGGGGUAAUGUGUAUAGAUUGAGGGGGAAACAACUAUUGCAUCCAUUUUAGAAUAAGGCUGUAACAUACCAAAAUGUGAAAAAAGUCAAGGGGUUUGAAUACUUUCCGAAGGCACUGUUACAUGUCUGUCAUUGAACAACCCCAUGCCACAUCUCUUUCACAAGUUCUUCAAAAAAAAUAACAGCUAAUUUACAAACAUUUCUGAAAAUGGAUAUAUAGGGUUUGAAAUUAAACUCUUCAUUUACGUUACUUAUUGAUGAAUUGAUUUUUACAUAACUAGCCUCGUCGAGAACCCCAGGCUUUGCCUAAUCAGGAAAGCCUGGGGAAGUCAAUGGUAGAAAGUGUCUAAAAAGGGUUGGAGACCCAGUGUAAAUCAGUGACUCACGGCAACACGUCAAACCCAUCAACGACCUUGCUUGGGCAGAGUUCCAAAGCGAGAGAAAACAUGCUCUGACGUCGUAGUGAGAAGUUUCCCACUCACAGUCUCAUACAGUAUGUUGCCUGACUAUAAUAUUUUAUCUUGAUACGUUAAUAAAUACCUACUGUGUUCAUUUUGGCAUGUUUAGCUGUCUAGAAUAUCCAUUGUAAUGUGCGUGCAGACUAACUAACAAAGAAUUGGUAGCUAACUAGCUACCCACAAACAUUGAUUAUUAUGUUACAAGCUUGUGAUGACUUUAUGUAGUAAUCUUGUUUAAUUUCUAUUGGUCAAAGGUAAUACAGUAGCACGGGAGUGCGCACUGCUUCUCAAAUGUACAUUUUCAUGCGUUCUCCACACUCGUCCUCACACAAACCUUCUAAAUAAAACGUCCUCGGAGUGACACACGUCAAAACACGCAGCACCCAAUCUAUGGGCAUGUGGGGUGGGAGGGGGGUUCUUGAAAUGUACAUUAAAUGCAGCGCUCCAAUCUAGCUGUUUCGGCCAACACAAACAUCUUCAGGCUUCCAAAGGAGCGGCGUGACAACAACGUGAUUUGGAGGUAUGGUAACACGAGACUAUUACAUUACAUCUACACACAAUAUUUGACAUAUCUGCACUAAGUAUUUAUUUUCUCUCAAACUCAUUGAUGACAAUAACACCAUUAUCUUACUGUACUAUCAACCAGAGGUGUGGACUCGAGUCACAUGGCUUGGACUCGAGUCAGACUUGUUGUUCCCUCGGUCCUGACCCUGAAUCACCACCUGGAGCAGCGGAAGCCUCAAGUCCAUUUCCUGAGUGGCCUGGUCAGAAGUCUCCAGGCAUCCCCGAACAAAUAUUUCUUGGAAUCUUCAUCAAUGUGAAAAUGGCCAGGACACAAGAUGGAAUCACUGCCCCUUUUUCAGAUCCAGUCGAACUCAAAGCAGCUGCUGUGGAUCUGGCUUUUUCUCUGAUGUGGGUAGAGCACCAUGUGCUGGUCAAGGAGAAGGUCAAAGAGGAGGUGGCACAAAGAGUGAAAGAACUGAUUCUGCAAAAUGCUGAAGGGACUGAGCAAGCUGUGCCUCUUGUUGAUGAGUAAAAGCGAGAGGACCAUAGUCUUGGACAAGAAAAAUGGCUUUUUGCAGCACACUAUAAGAGGCAGAAGAAAGCUGUUGGGACCACUACAGCUAAGUCACUACCUCUGGGCGAUGAACAUGAAGGCUCUUUCUUCACUGUCCCGAGUGGCCAUCAGGGUCUUGGCAGAGUGCGUCCAGUGCGUCCGGUGGAGCGUGUCUUCAGCCAUGGUGGCAUCAUACUGCAGCCUCAUCGUGCACAAAUGACUGACAGACCUUUAUUGAAUUUGGUCUUUUGCAAAUGCAAUGCAUCAUAGGCCCUGAGAUAAGAGAAAAAAAUUAACUGUUUAUGCAUUACACACACACACACACGUAGUCUCCAUGUUCAGGUUUUAUCUCCCAUCUUUGGGAUUUGUAUUUUUUUUCUCAGACAUUCAGGCCAGUGUUCAAAUUGUAGGCCUACUUGAAGUUCAGUAGCAGUUGUUUUGAUGUACCUUUUAAUAAAUGAUUGUAACUUCAUGGCAGGAUUGUUUUAGGUGUCUAAAAUAUAUCUGGAUAGAGACAGAGAGCACUACAAUAUUUUGUUUUUGUUGUCAUAUUGAUGUAUUUCCAUAUAACGUUUAUUUGUAAAGUAAUAAAUAUAUAUAUAUUUUUUAAAAGCA
Molecule: RNA transcript, 5905 nt
Organism: Oncorhynchus masou masou (cherry salmon)
Lineage: Eukaryota; Metazoa; Chordata; Actinopteri; Salmoniformes; Salmonidae
Gene: asb1
Gene name: ankyrin repeat and SOCS box containing 1
Exons: 5
Source: RefSeq, a predicted model, not a curated record